UUACCAUGCAGUCGACGAUGAUGCCCAGCUUGCUGGGUGGAUUAGUGGCGAACGGGUGAGUAACACGUGAGUAACCUGCCCCUGACUCUGGGAUAAGCGUUGGAAACGACGUCUAAUACUGGAUAUGAUCACUGGCCGCAUGGUCUGGUGGUGGAAAGAUUUUUUGGUUGGGGAUGGACUCGCGGCCUAUCAGCUUGUUGGUGAGGUAAUGGCUCACCAAGGCGACGACGGGUAGCCGGCCUGAGAGGGUGACCGGCCACACUGGGACUGAGACACGGCCCAGACUCCUACGGGAGGCAGCAGUGGGGAAUAUUGCACAAUGGGCGAAAGCCUGAUGCAGCAACGCCGCGUGAGGGAUGACGGCCUUCGGGUUGUAAACCUCUUUUAGUAGGGAAGAAGCGAAAGUGACGGUACCUGCAGAAAAAGCACCGGCUAACUACGUGCCAGCAGCCGCGGUAAUACGUAGGGUGCAAGCGUUGUCCGGAAUUAUUGGGCGUAAAGAGCUCGUAGGCGGUUUGUCGCGUCUGCUGUGAAAUCCCGAGGCUCAACCUCGGGCUUGCAGUGGGUACGGGCAGACUAGAGUGCGGUAGGGGAGAUUGGAAUUCCUGGUGUAGCGGUGGAAUGCGCAGAUAUCAGGAGGAACACCGAUGGCGAAGGCAGAUCUCUGGGCCGUAACUGACGCUGAGGAGCGAAAGCAUGGGGGAGCGAACAGGAUUAGAUACCCUGGUAGUCCAUGCCGUAAACGUUGGGCGCUAGAUGUAGGGACCUUUCCACGGUUUCUGUGUCGUAGCUAACGCAUUAAGCGCCCCGCCUGGGGAGUACGGCCGCAAGGCUAAAACUCAAAGGAAUUGACGGGGGCCCGCACAAGCGGCGGAGCAUGCGGAUUAAUUUCGAUGCAACGCGAAGAACCUUACCAAGGCUUGACAUACACCGGAAACGGCCAGAGAUGGUCGCCCCCUUGUGGUCGGUGUACAGGUGGUGCAUGGUUGUCGUCAGCUCGUGUCGUGAGAUGUUGGGUUAAGUCCCGCAACGAGCGCAACCCUCGUUCUAUGUUGCCAGCGGGUUAUGCCGGGGACUCAUAGGAGACUGCCGGGGUCAACUCGGAGGAAGGUGGGGAUGACGUCAAAUCAUCAUGCCCCUUAUGUCUUGGGCUUCACGCAUGCUACAAUGGCCGGUACAAAGGGCUGCGAUACCGUAAGGUGGAGCGAAUCCCAAAAAGCCGGUCUCAGUUCGGAUUGAGGUCUGCAACUCGACCUCAUGAAGUCGGAGUCGCUAGUAAUCGCAGAUCAGCAACGCUGCGGUGAAUACGUUCCCGGGCCUUGUACACACCGCCCGUCAAGUCAUGAAAGUCGGUAACACCCGAAGCCGGUGGCCUAACCCUUGUGGAAGGAGCCGUCGAAG
Molecule: ribosomal RNA, 1401 nt
Filed under: Curtobacterium sp. 2011SOCNI57
Lineage: Bacteria; Bacillati; Actinomycetota; Actinomycetes; Micrococcales; Microbacteriaceae
Description: bacterial SSU rRNA
Rfam family: Bacterial small subunit ribosomal RNA
Source: RNAcentral